This 1359-nucleotide ribosomal RNA is filed under the name uncultured bacterium. RNAcentral's name for it is "bacterial SSU rRNA". It matches the Rfam family "Bacterial small subunit ribosomal RNA", at positions 28 to 1381 of the family's 1533-position model. The record is from RNAcentral.
GAUGAACGCUAGCUACAGGCUUAACACAUGCAAGUCGAGGGGCAGCAUUUCAGUUUGCUUGCAAACUGGAGAUGGCGACCGGCGCACGGGUGAGUAACACGUAUCCAACCUGCCGAUAACUCGGGGAUAGCCUUUCGAAAGAAAGAUUAAUACCCGAUGGUAUAAUCAGACCGCAUGGUUUGAUUAUUAAAGAAUUUCGGUUAUCGAUGGGGAUGCGUUCCAUUAGGCAGUUGGUGAGGUAACGGCUCACCAAACCUUCGAUGGAUAGGGGUUCUGAGAGGAAGGUCCCCCACAUUGGAACUGAGACACGGUCCAAACUCCUACGGGAGGCAGCAGUGAGGAAUAUUGGUCAAUGGGCGCAGGCCUGAACCAGCCAAGUAGCGUGAAGGAUGACUGCCCUAUGGGUUGUAAACUUCUUUUAUAUGGGAAUAAAGUUUUCCACGUGUGGAAUUUUGUAUGUACCAUAUGAAUAAGGAUCGGCUAACUCCGUGCCAGCAGCCGCGGUAAUACGGAGGAUCCGAGCGUUAUCCGGAUUUAUUGGGUUUAAAGGGAGCGUAGGUGGACAGUUAAGUCAGUUGUGAAAGUUUGCGGCUCAACCGUAAAAUUGCAGUUGAUACUGGCUGUCUUGAGUACAGUAGAGGUGGGCGGAAUUCGUGGUGUAGCGGUGAAAUGCUUAGAUAUCACGAAGAACUCCGAUUGCGAAGGCAGCUCACUGGACUGCAACUGACACUGAUGCUCGAAAGUGUGGGUAUCAAACAGGAUUAGAUACCCUGGUAGUCCACACAGUAAACGAUGAAUACUCGCUGUUUGCGAUAUACAGUAAGCGGCCAAGCGAAAGCAUUAAGUAUUCCACCUGGGGAGUACGCCGGCAACGGUGAAACUCAAAGGAAUUGACGGGGGCCCGCACAAGCGGAGGAACAUGUGGUUUAAUUCGAUGAUACGCGAGGAACCUUACCCGGGCUUAAAUUGCAUUUGAAUAUAUUGGAAACAGUAUAGCCGUAAGGCAAAUGUGAAGGUGCUGCAUGGUUGUCGUCAGCUCGUGCCGUGAGGUGUCGGCUUAAGUGCCAUAACGAGCGCAACCCUUAUCUUUAGUUACUAACAGGUCAUGCUGAGGACUCUAGAGAGACUGCCGUCGUAAGAUGUGAGGAAGGUGGGGAUGACGUCAAAUCAGCACGGCCCUUACGUCCGGGGCUACACACGUGUUACAAUGGGGGGUACAGAAGGCAGCUACCUGGUGACAGGAUGCUAAUCCCAAAAGCCUCUCUCAGUUCGGAUCGAAGUCUGCAACCCGACUUCGUGAAGCUGGAUUCGCUAGUAAUCGCGCAUCAGCCAUGGCGCGGUGAAUACGUUCCCGGGCCU